This 505-nucleotide ribosomal RNA is filed under the name uncultured bacterium. Its description in RNAcentral is "bacterial SSU rRNA". It matches the Rfam family "Bacterial small subunit ribosomal RNA", at positions 28 to 507 of the family's 1533-position model. The record is from RNAcentral.
AAUGAACGCUGGCGGCGUGCUUAACACAUGCAAGUCGAGCGAGAAAGUCGACUUCGGUCGACGAGUAAAGCGGCGAACGGGUGAGUAACACGUGGGGUAACCUGCCCUGGGAUGGGGGGAUAACCUGGGGAAACUCGGGCUAAUACCGCAUACGUUCUCGGCACUGCGGUGCCGAGAGGAAAGCUGGCCAAUGCUUGCAAGCUAGCGCUCUUUGAGGGACCCGCGUCCGAUUAGCUUGUUGGUGGGGUAACGGCCUACCAAGGCUGCGAUCGGUAGCCGGCCUGAGAGGGUGAUCGGCCACACUGGGACUGAGACACGGCCCAGACUCCUACGGGAGGCAGCAGUGGGGAAUAUUGGACAAUGGGCGCAAGCCUGAUCCAGCAACGCCGCGUGGAGGACGAAGGCCUUCGGGUCGUAAACUCCUGUCAGUUGGGAACGAAAAGCUGUCGGUGAAUAUCCGGCAGUCAUGACGGUACCAGCAGAGGAAGCCCCGGCUAACUCCGUG